This is a long non-coding RNA of Fukomys damarensis (Damara mole-rat), 5575 nucleotides long. The record is from Ensembl. Lineage: Eukaryota; Metazoa; Chordata; Mammalia; Rodentia; Bathyergidae.
GCCCCCCCCCCCCGUUCUUCUGAGGACUGAGGUAACUCCCCUCUAAAGCCCGGGGGCUCAGGGCUGGUGAGGCAGAGAGUGCUGGUGGUGGUGAAAGUUCUGUAGGAAGCCUCCCCCCUAGCAGCCUCGGCCUGGACAGGGGCAGGAAUGUGGUCAGAGAGCUCUGCCCCCGCAGUCGGCUGCCCGGGCAGCUGUUCAAGUGUAGAUCCAUUUCAAAGGCCUUUUGUUAAAACUUCUAAGGGCCAAAAGGACUGCUCAAAGCCAGAAGCCUUGCACUGGGAGGGCCUGGCAAUUCCAGUGACCUGGAAGGCUAUCAAGCUCCUUUAAGCCAGAGCUAGGUAAUCAGCACAGUAAGUCAGGGGACCAGGGGCAGGUUCCAAGGGCCACAGUGACUGAGAGAAGGCUUGCUUGCACCUUUGGAUUACUGAAGUGUGACAGGCAGGUUGCAGAGCGGGCAGGGAACUGGAAGUCUUUGGAAAAAUCCUCACCAGGGUGUUGCCAUGGUUAUGUUGGCAUUGGUCUCCCCCGGGACCAUUUUGUAGUUUAAUGUGGUCUUCCUUCUCCUUUCUCCCCAAGGGUUGUCUGCUCAUCCAGCUGAGUCAGAGCUCAGCCUGGGGUCAUGCUUCUGCUACUACUAAUUGGCUAGUGUGUUGGGGGCCAGUUAUUCACCUGUUUGUAAUGCUAUUUUCUCAUUCAUAAAGAUGUUGGCCCAGUUGCCAGGCUUGCUUCCCUGUGAUGGGCACUGAGGGCAUCCCAGAAGGUGAAAGAAGGGUGAAAAGGCGCGGGCUGAGGAUCUCUGAGGGUUCAAGCCGUUUACCACUUCCAGCCUUCAGACCAGAGCAGAGUGGGCUCCUCUGUUGCCAGGGGCCUCCCGGCCUGCUCUGCAGAGCCUCCUCUGGGAGCAUGAGUGAAGACCCAGGCCACCCAGCACCAAGGCAGAAGGGAAAGAAAGAAGGAAGGACAGGAGUGCAGCACAGGCAAGCCUUACGUUUGAACACCUGUGACUGGCAAAUAAUUCAGCCCCAGAUGAAAACAGCUGUGUGGCAUGGGCAGGCAUUAAGAGCUGCAGCUCACCUUGGAUUCUUGCUCGCUGGCUGUCUGAGAGCGGGGAUGCCUCUUCCUUCAAACUGAGAAGUUUCCCCAUCUCCAGGACCUUUGCACUGAGCUUCCCCUACCUCCUUCUACGAGACAGGGCCUCACUAAGUCCCUAAAUUGCCCAUGCUGGGCUUGACCUUUAGAUUCUCCUGUCACAGCAUACUGGCUUUACAGCCACGAGCCACUCGCCUGGCGUCAAAUGCCAUCGAAUGGAGCUCCCAGCUACUUCCUUCCACCUGCUCCCCCAGGGUCCUCACAGCUUGAUGAAGCUGCUACCUGCUUUAGGCUGCUCAAGCCGCUGCUGUGAAGCUAUCCUGGAUUUUCCCUCUCCACCUUAUCUGCUCUGGCAAGAUUCUUCCUGAAAGGAAAAGGCAUUUUCAUUAUUUACUAAUUCAACUGACCAGAUGAAUUCACAAGAUCAGGGCUUCAGACUCAGCUCUGCGAGUUUUCAGUCCUGUGAGAGUAAGAAAAUCCCCCCCUGCAGAAAGCUCAUGACGGCGGCUGCCUUACCCAUCAGCCCAGCUGCAAGGACAUCCCCAGACGCCUCCAGCUCUGCUUUGCUUCUGUCUGCAAAUACGUCCUGCUCCAGCUCCUACAGAAACACCGGCGCUUGGAAACGCUUGGCAUUUUGUGGUCCCUCAGGAUGAAGUUCCUCGAACCCUCUCUCCACGGGACAGUGGAGAUGAAAUCUCAGUGAGAACGCUGCAGGGUAGCUGACUCUGGCUAGCAACUGACCAACUCUGAGGACCCGGGCCAUUUAUUAUGGUGGGGGGUGCCAUCAUUUGUCAGGUCACCCACGACGGACGCUGCCGCGGAAGGGGAGGCAUCUGAACUGGAUACACACGUGGUGGGUUUGAUGCAACAUUUGCUGCUUUUCAAAACAGAAUUUUCAAGUUGAUUUUUAAUUAGAAAAAUUUCAUCUUAACCUCUUGUCCCCUGUGGUCAUUUUGAAGACGCAGCGAACGGGCACUGUAUCACAGGGUCUUAUUUAAAUGAAUUCAGUUGUACAAUACUCCUUGGGAUCUGGGAGCAACUGGUGGACCCUAAGGGUGCUCGCAUCCGGAGGAAGGAGGUGCUCUGGAGACACAGGGAGGACACCGGGAGCUGCCGGUGGGUGUGUCGAAGAUGGAGGAGUAGGGGCCUCCUGCCGGCAGGACUCACUUUUAGCAUGUGCCGUCCCCUCAGUCCCAAGUGAGCUGUGAGUGGCGGGCGGACCAGGGAAAGACUGGAUGGCAGGCAGCAGCCCCUCCCGGGUAUCACGAAGAUGGCCUUGAGACUGAAGUUGGCGGGAGGGGCGGGCAUGAAAACAGAGAAGCCAGGAGCAUACACGGCCUCCUACUCCUCAUCGCCAACCACCCCCGACCCUAGCUUACGGGUGCUUUGCUACCUUCGAGGCAGAAGGCCAGUUCUCUGUCCUGCUGAGAGAGGCUUACAGGCAGGUGAGGAACCGAGCACGGUGCCUUUGUCCCCUGCCUGUAGGUGACAGGUAAAGGACGGCGGAAAUACUCAGGCUGACAGCAAUGCGGCCUGGCUGCAGGACGUUAGAUUUGGGCCCAGUGCAAAGGGCGGUGAGAACAGCCGUGUUGCAGGAAAGACGACAGCGCGUGGCAGCUCCAGGUUCACGCUCGGUGACACGGGGCGGCUCCUGGGCUUUGAAGCAGCCCAGGCUCGCACCAGUCAGCCCUCAACCUCAGGCGGCCACCCGGCCGAGUAGCAGCGCGGAAGGAUCUCCUCCUCCACAGAUGGGUUUCCCAAGAUCACAACCCAGGCAGAGCCGCAUGCUGUCCACACUGGCAGGAAACCGCAUUCCAUGGUGCGUGGUGUCCAGUCCCAUCCACCAGGAAGGGCUACUCAGAGCCAACCAAGCCCUCACCCAGUGGCCAGUUUGAACAUCCUGGGGAUUUCCUUCCCCCAGGGGAUGUUUCCCCCUUCCUCACAGGCCUUCUUGGAAGGUUUGAUCAAAUCAGGAACUGAAAGGUUUUUUUGUUGUUGUUGUUUUUUGUUUAAGUGGAUGCACCUUAUAAUCAUCUAGAAGCUUUAAAAACAUCUUCAUCUGCAGGCCCCGGCUCCAGCCAUGUGCUUUUAACUGGUCUUGGGAGGGCUACAGGCCCAGCACACCUAGAGGGUUCUCAGAGCUGGUGAGAAUCACCUGCCCUGUGCUGAAUUAGCAGGCUCCUGCCAUCCUCCGCCCACGACACCACUGGGACCCCUUCUGGGGAAGGACGCUUCACUGCUCCACUCUGCAACCCUACAGUCCAGCUGGCCGCCCGGUCUCACGGAGGGCUCAGGAUAAGGACGGAGGGAGUCCUGCCUGGGAAGGCAGUUUGGCUCUCAACCUGGACUGUGCCCUAUCGGAACUGCUCUGGGCACAAACGUUUCAAUGUCUUGUGUUGUUCUAGGGUCAACACAGCCACUGACCAAGGUCGGACUCUCCCGCAGUUGUUGGCACCCUAUUUUCACCUGUGUAAAUGACCUCAUACGGCCUCUUGAGGACCUGCAAGGGGUCUAGAAGCUACUGGCCCUGAGGUAUGAUUUAUACUGAUGCCGUCUUGGAGCAUUUUGUUUAAAGCCAAAAAAGAAAUGAAAUAUGUUGAAUCCAUUCUCAGCAACAGGGAGAAUCAGACUUGGAAAACGGGGCUUCAAAUCUUUCCCUCUCUAGUUACAGAGCAGACUGCCCCAGGAUCCAGUGACAUUCCAUUCCCAUCUCUCCCCGGUUGUUUUCCCCACGUCCCCAAAAGGAAAAUCAGAGGCAUCAGCAAUGCGAGCGCCAAAUCCUAUCUGUCUGAGGCGUUGUGAAGGCAUCCAAUUUUAAUAAUGUCCCUGUGUGAGGACAUCUGGCUAGACAUCAAGGGUCUGCCGGUUGCUUCACAAAUUCUCCUCCCAUUGCCCAAGAUCUGCUACUUAUCUGCUUCCUAAGAUUCUGUCAGAGAAACUUGGAAUUACAAAGAUCUGAGAGAUACAGAUCAGGGCCUUACACAAUACAAUCUUUUAGUUCUCUACUUCUCUGACACCAUCGCAGAAGAUGUGCAGCAAGAAGUGACCACCACAUACGUUCAAGGGGAAGGAAGGGCUGGGUAUGGCAGCUCAUGCCUGCAAUCCUUGCUACUCAGGCAAGGCUGAGGCAGGAGGACCACAAGUUCAAGGUCAGCCUGGCCAACUUUGUGAGACUCUGUCUCAAUCUAAAAAAUAAAAAGGGCCAGGAUAUAGCCCAGUGUGAAGAGCAUUUUCGACCAUGUACAAGGAGCUGGAUUCAAUCCCCAGCAUCACAGAGACACAGAGACACGGGGACACUAUGGUGGGAACACGCAGAGGGCUGUGAGUGGGAGGAACGAUGACCUGGAAUGAUUACUCUCACCUUGCCAGUAAUAGCAGACAAGUAAAAUUCCAACGAGAAAGAAUUUCCUCAGUUGCUGACAUUGGGAGGCCACAGCUUCCUCACCAGCCCCUUCCCCUCAGCCCAGAAUGAUCUCUCUCCAGAGGACAGGGAGGAAACAUGGCGUGGAGGGUAAUCACUUGCGACCAGAGAUAAAAGCACUCAGAAGUGAUGCCAGGACCCCCUGUUGCCAUUCCCGUCCCAUUUCUGAAACUCUUGCUCAAGAGCAGCCUGUUGCACUCAUUGGGACUCUGGCCAAGGGCUGCUGUCCUAUAAAAUCUCUUAUCAGAUGGUUGGUGAAAUUAAGCUUUGUUGCUAUAUAGCACGUUACCAAACAAAAACUGUUUCCAGGGUGAAGACUUUGAGUCUUUCUAUAGCACAAGAUAAAAAAAAAAAAAAACAAACGAAAAAAAAGUAAACAGAUGUUCAUCUAAGAGUGAUCAUUAUAAAAAGAAAGAAGAAAAAACAGCAGAGAAAAAGCCAUGGCUUUUCUUAGAACAGGGUUAAAUUAAUGUGCGUAAUGCUUCAGGAGUGUGAAUGACAGGGAACAAGCAAUAGGGGUGACUAGGAUUAUGAAACUAAAACUUUGGGUUUUAGAGCUAUUUGGCAACCAGGCAACUGAUCUUUGAUCUCAGAAAAAUUGUAAUAAGAGAUUAUCAGAUUUCUCGUUAAAAAAAAGGAAUAAACAAUACUAGCUAUGUGAGUUGAUCCACACUUUUGAGAAAAUUGGUUGAGUAAUGAUAGUCAUGUAAGAAGGAAAGCCCUGUGUCCAUUUUUUUUUUUUUUUGUUACCUGGGAUUGAACUUGGGUCCUUGUGUUUGCGAGUCACGUGGUGGAACCACUGAGCUAAAUCCCCGGCCCCUGUGUCCAAUUCUUCUUUUUUGUUGUUGUUGUUGUUUUGUACUGGGGAUCAAACUCGGGUCCUUGUGCUUGUGAGGCAGGCUGCAGAAACACUGAGCUGAAUCCCUGGACCCCUGUGUCCAAUUCUUAACACAAGAUACCACUAAUAAUGAGGAUCAAUUCUGAAGAAAAAUAAAGGCCUGUACCACAGUAGCAGACUAGGUUUUGUAAAAGGCUAAAAGGAAAAGGAAGGACACAGGGGAAAAG